UAAUUUUUUUAUUAAAAAUAUUUUAUUUAAAUUUAAUAUGAAUUUUCGAGUCAGUCAUAACUUAGGCUUGGGUUAAAGAAAAUAAAGGUCACAAUACCUAUAAAUUUGAUAAAUAAAAUUACUAAUUAUUGUAUUUAAUAUAACAUUACUGCUAAUUUAUGGUAUAUUAAUUUAGUUUUAAAAUACCUUAAAGAUUGGAAAAUAAAACCCUUUAAAAUCCUCCAGCCACCGACAAAAACCACAUUAAAAAUCUUACAAAAUUUGACAAAAAAAAAAGACAAAUAAAAACCUAUUUCUAAC
This 300-nucleotide long non-coding RNA is filed under the name Gossypium raimondii (Peruvian cotton). Its description in RNAcentral is "long non-coding RNA (GRAI_LNC001783)". The record is from RNAcentral. Lineage: Eukaryota; Viridiplantae; Streptophyta; Magnoliopsida; Malvales; Malvaceae.